Long non-coding RNA from Papaver somniferum (opium poppy), 1368 nucleotides. RefSeq lists it as uncharacterized. The transcript has 4 exons. Lineage: Eukaryota; Viridiplantae; Streptophyta; Magnoliopsida; Ranunculales; Papaveraceae. The record is from RefSeq and is a predicted model, not a curated record.
UUCCUGGUGAUGAACUAAAAUGGGUCAAACUCUGCACAGAUGAUGACCUUGUCGCAGUUGCCUCUUUAAAGAAUUGGACAACCAAACUCAUGCCAAGCGUUUGAUUGGUAGGAGCUUCUGUGACACCGCUGUCCAAGGUGGUAUCAAGAACUGGCCAUUCAAUAUUCUAUCUGGUCCAGCUGACAAGCCCAUGAUUGAGGCCUCAUACAAGGGAGAAGAGAAGCAGUUCGCCGCUGAGGAAAUCUCAUCCAUGGACUUGAUUAAGAUGCGUGAGAUUGCUAAGGCAUACCUUGGUUCUAUAGUUAAGAACUUUGUUGUUACAGUCCCUGCAUACUUCAACGAAUCUCAGCGUCAAGCUACAAAGGAUGCUAGGUCGUUGCUGGUCUUAAUGUUAUGGGUAUCAUCAAUGAGCCUACGGCUGCUGCCAUUGCCUGGUACUAGUCCUUUUUAAUUUUUCAUGUUUAUUACUGACUAAUGCUAGUUUGUUUAUAUGUAUGCACUUUGCAAAAUGAAUUGAGAAUUCAGACUAAUUCAAACUAAUACUAGUUUAUUUACUGACUAAUACUAGUUUGUUUAUAUGUAUGACUUUACAAAAUGAAUUGAGAAUUCAAAAGAAGCUUACCAGUUCACUAAGGAAAGAUAUCAGGUAAUGAUGGAGGAUUUGAUACUAACUGUAACAUUAGCUAUAUGUAAUGCUUGCUCUUUCUCAAUGAGUGGAUAUUUAUUACAUGGGUAUGGUUGCUUUUUAUUAUAUUCUUUUUGUUGUUAUAUAAAUAAUAGUAAAAUUUAAGUACUGAACUUAUUUAUAAUAAACAAGUUGAUGCUCUUCAGUGCUAUCUUUCCAACUGAGAUACAGGUUCGUCUUUGCCACUUUUUCAUCUGGUUGAUUAAAUGAUUCUAUUCCACUAAGUAUGAGAAUAACUUUCUUACUCUAUUUGGUUUGUUGUUUCAGACGAUGGAUUAUGAUUUUCUUAUUUUGAUGGAGUUGAUAGUGGUGUCAUUGUGCCAUCUGAGAUUGUACACUCAAUUGACAUUCAUCCUUCGCGAAAGCAUGCCUGCGGCACAAAUACUGAAGAAAAUGUUUAUGAGAAUCAUGUCACUCAGGCGCUCAAGAGGAUAUAAUCCAAGAUUAUUGGCUCUAUGGUGUUGAACACAAUCAUGAUUCACAAUUAAAUAUGGUAUGUCCAGAUUUUCCAAGACUGCACCGUGUUCAGAUUACUAAUAGGUUACCAAUUAGGAAUAGGUUACCAAUUUAUCCAGAAUGUCAGGGAUAUAUCGACGUCACAAGUAUAAUGAUUUUUGCAAUAAUAUAUUUAUUCCUUCGUAUGUAUCUGGAGUUUGCUAUUUCUUCUCUAACUUAGGUUUAUA